GCCCAAAUUUGAAAUCUGACCCCUCCGGGGUCCGAGUUGUAAUUUGCAGAGGACGCUUCGGCUUAGGCCCCGGGUCAAGUCCCCAGGAACGGGGCGCCAGGGAGGGUGAGAGCCCCGUCCGCGCCCGGGCCGCCUUCGCCGCGCGAAGCCCCUUCGAAGAGUCGAGUUGUUUGGGAAUGCAGCUCAAAGCGGGGGGUAAAUUCCCCCCAAGGCUAAACACCGGUCGGAGACCGAUAGCGCACAAGUAGAGUGAUCGAAAGAUGAAAAGCACUUUGGAAAGAGAGUGAAAAAGCACGUGAAAUUGUUGAAAGGGAAGCUCUUGCCGCCAGACUCGCGGCGACGGCUCAGCCGCCCCCCGGGGCGGUGUACUCCGUCGUCUGCGGGCCAGCGUCGGUUCGGGCGGCCGGACAAAGGCCCCGGGAACGUAGCCCCCCUCGGGGGGUGUUAUAGCCCGGAGCGCAACGCGGUCAGCCCGGUCCGAGGGACGCGCCUCGCGCUAGGACGCUGGCGUAAUGGCGGUAAGCGACCCGUCUUGAAACACGGACCAAGGAGUCGAGCCCCUGCGCGAGUGUUCGGGUCGCAAGCCCGGCCGCGUAAUGAAAGUGAACGGAGGUGGGAACCCCCGGGGUGCACCAUCGACCGAUCCUGAUGUCUUCGGAUGGAUUUGAGUAAGAGCGUAGUGGCCCGGACCCGAAAGACGGUGAACUAUACCUGGAUAGGGUGAAGCCAGAGGAAACUCUGGUGGAGGCUCGCAGCGGUUCUGACGUGCAAAUCGAUCGUCAAAUCUUGGUAUAGGGGCGAAAGACUAAUCGAACC
Molecule: ribosomal RNA, 816 nt
Filed under: Cresponea proximata
Lineage: Eukaryota; Fungi; Ascomycota; Arthoniomycetes; Arthoniales; Opegraphaceae
Description: LSU rRNA
Rfam family: Eukaryotic large subunit ribosomal RNA
Source: RNAcentral